This 24-nucleotide transfer RNA is filed under the name Nicrophorus trumboi. Its description in RNAcentral is "partial tRNA-Leu". Lineage: Eukaryota; Metazoa; Arthropoda; Insecta; Coleoptera; Silphidae. The record is from RNAcentral.
GUCUACACUUUUUUUAGAAAAAAA